GCUUCCUUAGCUCAGUUGGCCAGAGCAACUGACUCUUAAUCAGUGGGCCGCGGGUUCGAAUCCCGCAGGGAGCA
RNAcentral lists this transfer RNA (74 nucleotides) under Kapaibacterium sp. (SeqCode). Its description in RNAcentral is "tRNA-Lys". It matches the Rfam family "tRNA". From Rfam's summary of the family: Transfer RNA (tRNA) molecules are approximately 80 nucleotides in length. The record is from RNAcentral. Lineage: Bacteria; Pseudomonadati; Bacteroidota; Eximiradiia; Eximiradiales; Kapaibacteriaceae (SeqCode).